GGGGCAGCCCAGCAGACUCAGCCAUUAGCAGGUAAGAAGCCUGGAUCCUUGCCUUGAGAGCCACAGUGAAUUCUGACAAGAGCCUGGCAUAAUUUGCUUCAAUGCUUUUCAACAUCUCAAUUUAAGUAUGGUUUAAGAUGCAUCUUCAGAGGGCUGGAGAGAUGGCUCAGCAGUUAAGAGUACUGACUGCUCUUCCCAGAGGUCCUGAGUUCAAUUCCUGGCAACCACAUGAUAUAUCUUUGGAGACAUAAUUGCAUUUAAGUAAAGUUCUGCUCAGCAUACUUUGAACAUAGGAUGCUAAUUAUUCAUACUUCAUGAUUGAGGAGUUGGAGUUGGAGACUCACCUGCAGUAUUUGGAAUACCAGUGGAGAUCCAUAUCAACAUGGAAUUUAUACAGCAGCUGGUGCCAGUCACAGCUAAUGAUGAAACUUCAGUUUAAUAAAAAGACCCCCAACUGAGUACAACCAUCUUGAAGAAAGUAUACUUAUCAAACAUCUUUCAAUCAGCUCAAGAGAGACACCUUAAUUGGGAAGAGGAAGAACUGCACAGCAGUUGUCACCAUGCCAAUCUCAGAUCAAUAGCAUUGCCACUGCUCCUCGGUACAUAUAGCCUUGCCUUAUGUCCCUAACUGCGUCUGCAUCCUCCCCCUACUGGGAUGAGAUCUUUGUUUCAGUUGCUAGUGUGUGAUGAUGCCCACUUCUGAUUCACCCAUUUCAUUAUAAAUACCCCCGAGCAAAAUUUAAAUGUGUAAUUAUAAAUCUCAUUAUUUUUCCUUUUAGUUAAAACUUCAACU
This is a long non-coding RNA of Acomys russatus (golden spiny mouse), 793 nucleotides long. RefSeq lists it as uncharacterized. The transcript is spliced from 3 exons. Lineage: Eukaryota; Metazoa; Chordata; Mammalia; Rodentia; Muridae. The record is from RefSeq and is a predicted model, not a curated record.